CAAUAGCGUAUAUUAAAGUUGUUGCGGUUAAAAAGCUCGUAGUUGGAUUUCUGCCGAGGACGACCGGUCCGCCCUCUGGGUGAAUAUCUGGUUCGACCUGGGCAUCUUCUUGGAGAACGUGGCUGCACUUGAUUGUGUGGUGCGGUAUCCAGGACUUUUACUUUGAGAAAAUUAGAAUGUUUCAAGCAGGCACACGCCUUGAAUACAUUAGCAUCGAAUAAUAAGAUAGGACCUCGGUUCUAUUUUGUUGGUUUCUAGAACUGAGGUAAUGAUUAAUAGGGAUAGUUGGGGGCAUUCGUAUUUAAUUGUCAGAGGUGAAAUUCUUGGAUUUAUGAAAGACGAACUACUGCGAAAGCAUUUACCAAAGAUGUUUUCAUUAAUCAAGAACGAAAGUUAGGGGAUCGAAGAUGAUCAGAUACCAU
RNAcentral lists this ribosomal RNA (422 nucleotides) under uncultured eukaryote. RNAcentral describes it as "SSU rRNA". It matches the Rfam family "Eukaryotic small subunit ribosomal RNA", at positions 592 to 1018 of the family's 1831-position model. The record is from RNAcentral.